AAGUCGUUCGGCGGUUUGCAUGUCAACCGUGACGUUUCCUUCAGUCUCGGCAAGGGUGAUCGCGUGGCGCUGAUCGGUCCCAACGGCGCGGGCAAGACCACGCUGGUCAACGUGAUCUCCGGUGAUCUGUCGCCGUCCGAUNNNGGGCAAUGACCUGACGGCGGUCUCGAUUCCCGGCCGCGUCCGGCAGGGGCUGGCGCGGACGUUCCAGAUCACCCGGCUUUUCACCAGUCUCUCGGUCGCGGAAAACGUCGCGUUGG
Molecule: unclassified non-coding RNA, 260 nt
Filed under: Hevea brasiliensis (rubber tree)
Lineage: Eukaryota; Viridiplantae; Streptophyta; Magnoliopsida; Malpighiales; Euphorbiaceae
Source: RNAcentral